Molecule: non-coding RNA, 45 nt
Filed under: Schistosoma mansoni
Lineage: Eukaryota; Metazoa; Platyhelminthes; Trematoda; Strigeidida; Schistosomatidae
Source: RNAcentral
AUCCGUCUGACGAGUCCCAAAUAGGACGAGACGCGCGUCCUGGAU